Molecule: ribosomal RNA, 836 nt
Filed under: Acinetobacter baumannii
Lineage: Bacteria; Pseudomonadati; Pseudomonadota; Gammaproteobacteria; Moraxellales; Moraxellaceae
Description: partial 23S ribosomal RNA
Rfam family: Bacterial large subunit ribosomal RNA
Source: RNAcentral
GAACCUUUACUGCAGCUUGACACUGAACUUUGACCUUACUUGUGUAGGAUAGGUGGGAGGCUUUGAAGCUGGAACGCUAGUUCCAGUGGAGCCGUACUUGAAAUACCACCCUGGUAAUGUUGAGGUUCUAACUCUGUCCCGUGAUCCGGGACGAGGACCGUGUCUGGUGGGUAGUUUGACUGGGGCGGUCUCCUCCUAAAGAGUAACGGAGGAGUACGAAGGUGCGCUCAGCGUGGUCGGAAAUCACGCGUAGAGUAUAAUGGCAAAAGCGCGCUUAACUGCGAGACCCACAAGUCGAGCAGGUACGAAAGUAGGUCUUAGUGAUCCGGUGGUUCUGUAUGGAAGGGCCAUCGCUCAACGGAUAAAAGGUACUCUGGGGAUAACAGGCUGAUACCGCCCAAGAGUUCAUAUCGACGGCGGUGUUUGGCACCUCGAUGUCGGCUCAUCUCAUCCUGGGGCUGAAGCAGGUCCCAAGGGUAUGGCUGUUCGCCAUUUAAAGAGGUACGCGAGCUGGGUUUAGAACGUCGUGAGACAGUUCGGUCCCUAUCUACCGUGGGCGCUGGAAAUUUGAGAGGAUCUGCUCCUAGUACGAGAGGACCAGAGUGGACGAACCUCUGGUGUACCGGUUGUGACGCCAGUCGCAUCGCCGGGUAGCUAUGUUCGGAAGGGAUAACCGCUGAAAGCAUCUAAGCGGGAAGCCUACCUCAAGAUAAGAUUUCCCUAGGACUUUAUGUCCUCUAAAGAGCCGUUCGAGACUAGGACGUUGAUAGGUUGGAUGUGGAAGCAUAGUGAUAUGUGAAGCUGACCAAUACUAAUUGCUCGUGAGGCUUGACUAU